Molecule: ribosomal RNA, 460 nt
Filed under: uncultured bacterium
Lineage: Bacteria
Description: partial 16S ribosomal RNA
Rfam family: Bacterial small subunit ribosomal RNA
Source: RNAcentral
CCUACGGGUGGCAGCAGUGAGGAAUAUUGGUCAAUGGACGAGAGCCUGAACCAGCCAAGUAGCGUGAAGGAUGACUGCCCUAAGGGUUGUAAACUUCUUUUAUAUGGGAAUAAAAUGUUCCACGUGUGGGUUUUUGUAUGUACAAUAUGAAUACGGAUCGGCUAACUCCGUGCCAGCAGCCGCGGUAAUACGGAGGAUCCGAGCGUUAUCCGGAUUUAUUGGGUUUAAAGGGAGCGUAGAUGGGUUGUUAAGUCAGUUGUGAAAGUUUGCGGCUCAACCGUAAAAUUGCAGUUGAGACUGGCAGUCUUGAGUACAGUAGAGGUGGGCGGAAUUCGUGGUGUAGCGGUGAAAUGCUUAGAUAGCACGAAGAACUCCGAUUACGAAGGCAGCUCACUAGACUGCAACUGACACUGAGGCUCGAAAGUGUGGGUAUCAAACAGGAUUAGAUACCACAGUAGUC